Molecule: long non-coding RNA, 459 nt
Organism: Zea mays
Lineage: Eukaryota; Viridiplantae; Streptophyta; Magnoliopsida; Poales; Poaceae
Exons: 3
Source: RefSeq, a predicted model, not a curated record
GGGUUUUUCACGGUUAUGGUUCAUUUAGUAGUCCAUCUAGCAACUGAAUGUAAGCUUGGUGGACCAGUUAACUAUAGAUGGAUGUAUUUUAUUGAGAGGUACCUAGGAAAAUUGAAAUCAUAUGUUCGGAACAAAGCAUAUCCAGAAGCUUCAAUAGCAAAUUCAUUCUUGGCAGAUGAGUGUAUGGUGUUUUGUUCUAGGUACAUAGAAGGUUUCGCUACCAAGCAUAAUAAACCAUCAAGGAACGAUGAUAGUUUGGACCAUACCCAAUCGAAGAUGGUUGGACAAGAUUCAUCUUUAUUCCCUUCAGUAGGGAAAUCAUUGGGAAAACCAGCCAAUUUUGAAUUAAGUCAUCUAGAGAAAUUGCAAGCGCAUAGAUAUGUGUUGUACAAUUGUGAUGUUGUUAAUCCAUAUCUAAAGGAACAUGCUUCUAAUCUGAAACGAAAGAGACGCGACCGU